AUGGCAUAGACCAGCAGCUGCAGCUCUGAUUGGGCCACUAGCCUGGGAGCUUCCAUAUGCUGCAGCCCUAAAAAGACAAAAAAAAAUGCAUUAGUAUUUAUUCCAUUAUAAUUUUUGAUGAUGCAUUACUGUACUGAAUGUUUAUAUUUUGAAAUUAUCUGGUUAAUAAUAUGCUUUCUAAAGUUGUGCUUUAAUCAUGCUACUAUUUGCCACACUACCUACUAGGAACAAAAAAUAACAAUGAAAAUGAUGCAGUUCAACACUAAGUCAUGAAUAGCCAGAGGAAAACCCUGAUUGGAAAAAAUAAUCUGUUUCCUUAUUUCUAAUAUUUGUGCUUCUUCAGUCACAUCUCAUUUGAGCAUAUGUAUAUCUGGAUGUUUGUUUUAUCGGGUUUGAACCACUUAUGGCUGCCAGUUUAUGGCUAAUCUUCAUCUUGAGAUAAUCAAAGAUUGCUGUCAUCUUUUGUGCAUUCAUGAUACAAUUGCAUGAGCAUAUCUCAGGAUAAGUAUUUUCUAUUACUGAAAAUUAACUUAAGAGACAAAUGGAUUUUUUAAAAUUUAUUAUUUUUAUUAACAAGAUUUAGGCUAUUUUUUUCAUUUCUCCAAUACAUUAUUUAUUCUAGAAUUGAUGGUGAUGAAACUUCUUACCACUUGGAAAUUUUGUAAGGUUUAUUAGGCUUAGAAAAAAGUACUGAGUAAUUUUAUUUCGGCCUUUACAUCAAAAUACCAUUUAGUGCUCCAAGUCUCUCUUUCACAAGUUCUUGUCAGUCUGCAAACCCCUUCAGUUAUUAAGGGGACUUCCUUCUAUCACUUUUUCUACCUGUACUUCCAUUCAUUCAUUCAUUGUUUCUUUCAUUACAAACAUUUACUGAACACCUGCUAUUGUCAGACAUUGAAGUAGGUGCUAGGAUUACAAUGAUAAACCAAAUGGAUGAAUAAAACAUCAAGAUAUCAAAUGAUACAAUGAAAAUAAAAGGAUGUGACAAAGUGUGACUAGGGUCUUGUUUGGACUGGAUAGUUGGGGAAGGAAUCUUUGAGGAGAUGACAUGUAAGUGGAAAUGUGAUUGACAAGUAAUUAGAUACGGGAGACUUGGGUGGAACAGCAUUCCAAGCAGAAGAAAGACAGUGCUAGGGCUAUAAGGUGGAAAUUAAACUGGGGGUAUUCAAGGAAGAGAUUAAAGGCAAGCUAGGGCUGGAGUAUAGGACCAAGUGGAAGAUGGGAAAGAGAUGGGUUUGAUGAAGGAGACAGGGACCCCUUCACAUGAAACCUGUUAGGCAGGGUGGGGCAUCUAGUUAUUAUUCUGAAGGCUAUGAGAAAGCACAGAGGGCUUCACUCAGCAGGGCCACUAGGAUCUGAUCUGCACUUAGAACACUGCUGUCUUUGUGGAGACGAAAUGCAAGUCUGGAGAGCAGCUGGGAGGCUAUCACCUCAGCCCAGGUGAGAGAUGAUGCAGUCUUCAGCUUGGGCAGCUGAUGCCCAAGGAAAUGGUAAGGAGUGGAUGGAAUUGCUAUAUGUUUUAAAGACAGAUUCAGUGGGGCUUGUUGGUUGAUUUGAUGGGAUGAAGGGUAAAAGGAAGAGAGGAAUCAAGGAUGAUCACGUUAAAUAACAUUAUAAAUCAGCAAAAAUAUUCCCAACUUUCCAAAAAGAAUGGGAAACAGCUGCGCUUGCUGAAAUUCCAAUGAAGCGAUUAGAUUACAUGAGGUGCAUGCAUUUCAUUUUGGACAUGAAUGCCCAGAAGGCUGGUCUGUCAUCUGUGGUGGAGGACCCCCAAAUGAUGCUUUGAGCAGCACAGCCAAUUGUAAAAGCAGACAGGGCCCAAAUGGAUUUUUUUUUAUUUCUUUUUGACCUAUCCUGUGUAUCUUUUGUGGCUCUAAUCUGAUGAACAAAUAUCUAUAAGGAACUGCUUAAAGUCUAUAGGGUAUCACUAGAAUAGAGAAACUUCUAGAUUGACCAUCAAGAGGCUUAGACCUUAGUUCCACAAAAACUAUUGUCUGUAUAAAGUGGAGAAUUAGCUUCCGUAGUUUCAAGUCUGAAAUGGAUAUAAUUCCUACUUGCCUCUUAAAUAAACAUGUUGGUGUGGUAAAGUGACAUUUUGUUUUUGAAUAUGAUUGAGUACAUCACAAGAAAUGAAUGAUGCUAUAAAAGGGAUGAUAUAUUCAAAUUAAAAAAAAAAAAGGAAUUCCCAUUGUGGUGCAGCAGAAACAAAUCUGAUUAGUAACCAUGAGGUUGCAGGUUUGAUCCCUGGCCUUGCUCAGUGGGUUAAGGAUCCUGUGUUGCCGGGAGCUGUGGCGUAGGUCACAGAUGUGGCUUAGAUCCUGCAUUGUUAUGGCUGUGGCAUAGGCCCCUACACAACUGUAGCUCUGAUUCGACCCCUAGCCUGGAAUAUCCAUAUGCCACAGGUGUGGCCCUAAAAAAAAAAAAAAAAGGAAAAAAAAA
This 2436-nucleotide long non-coding RNA is filed under the name Sus scrofa (pig). RNAcentral's name for it is "lncRNA (ENSSSCG00040054304.1)". Lineage: Eukaryota; Metazoa; Chordata; Mammalia; Artiodactyla; Suidae. The record is from RNAcentral.